CACAAGGUUUCUCGUAGGUGAACCUGCGGAAGGAUCAUUACCGAGUUGAGGCCCCUCUGGGUCCAACAUCCCAACCCGUGUUUAUUUUACCUUGUUGCUUCGGCGGGCCCGCCUUUACUGGCCGCCGGGGGGCUCACGCCCCCGGGCCCGCGCCCGCCGAAGACACCCUCGAACUCUGUCUGAAGAUUGAAGUCUGAGUGAAAAUAUAAAUUAUUUAAAACUUUCAACAACGGAUCUCUUGGUUCCGGCAUCGAUGAAGAACGCAGCGAUAUGCGAUACGUAAUGUGAAUUGCAAAUUCAGUGAAUCAUCGAGUCUUUGAACGCACAUUGCGCCCCCAGGUAUUCCGGGGGGCAUGCCUGUCCGAGCGUCAUUGCUGCCCUCAAGCCCGGCUUGUGUGUUGGGCCCCGUCCUCCGAUUCCGGGGGACGGGCCCGAAAGGCAGCGGCGGCACCGCGUCCGGUCCUCGAGCGUAUGGGGCUUUGUCACCCGCUCUGUAGGCCCGGCCGGCGCUUGCCGAUCAACCCAAAUUUUAUCCAGGUUUGACCUCGGAUCAGGUAGGGAUACCCGCUG
This 570-nucleotide small RNA is filed under the name Penicillium verrucosum. Its description in RNAcentral is "eukaryotic LSU rRNA". The stretch from base 219 to 371 matches the Rfam family "5.8S ribosomal RNA". The record is from RNAcentral. Lineage: Eukaryota; Fungi; Ascomycota; Eurotiomycetes; Eurotiales; Aspergillaceae.